RNAcentral lists this ribosomal RNA (423 nucleotides) under uncultured bacterium. Its description in RNAcentral is "bacterial SSU rRNA". It matches the Rfam family "Bacterial small subunit ribosomal RNA", at positions 207 to 622 of the family's 1533-position model. The record is from RNAcentral.
AAGACCUUGCGCUUUUGGAGCGGCCGAUGCCUGAUUAGCUUGUUGGUAAGGUAAAAGCUUACCAAGGCUUCGAUCAGUAGCUGGUCUGAGAGGACGGCCAGCCACACUGGGACUGAGACACGGCCCAGACUCCUACGGGAGGCAGCGGUGGGGAAUUUUGGACAAUGGGGGCAACCCUGAUCCAGCCAUGCCGCGUGAGUGAAGAAGGCCUUCGGGUUGUAAAGCUCUUUCAGCCGGAACGAAACGGUUACGGUUAAUACCCGUGAUUACUGACGGUACCGGAAGAAGAAGCACCGGCUAACUACGUGCCAGCAGCCGCGGUAAUACGUAGGGUGCGAGCGUUAAUCGGAAUUACUGGGCGUAAAGCGUGCGCAGGUGGUUUUGUAAGUCAGAUGUGAAAGCCCCGGGCUCAACCUAGGAACU